This 109-nucleotide non-coding RNA is filed under the name Pimelobacter simplex. RNAcentral describes it as "TPP sequence". It matches the Rfam family "TPP riboswitch aptamer (THI element)". Rfam says of the family: Vitamin B(1) in its active form thiamin pyrophosphate (TPP) is an essential coenzyme that is synthesised by coupling of pyrimidine and thiazole moieties in bacteria. Lineage: Bacteria; Bacillati; Actinomycetota; Actinomycetes; Propionibacteriales; Nocardioidaceae. The record is from Rfam by way of RNAcentral.
CUCGUCAGACAGGGGAGCCGCGCCGACGCGGCUGAGAGUGCGGACGAUCCGCAGACCCUCCGAACCUGAUCCGGUUAGCACCGGCGAAGGGAGUCAACCGAUGCCGACG